This is an RNA transcript of Boleophthalmus pectinirostris (great blue-spotted mudskipper), 5637 nucleotides long. It is a transcript of the gene named Janus kinase 3 (a protein tyrosine kinase, leukocyte), with no coding region annotated. The transcript is spliced from 22 exons. Lineage: Eukaryota; Metazoa; Chordata; Actinopteri; Gobiiformes; Gobiidae. The record is from RefSeq and is a predicted model, not a curated record.
GAAAUCCUUUACAUUUCCUGAUAACUAACAGCCGGCAGAAACCAGAACUCAAUGUUUGUACCGGAAGACAACAUUGCAUAAAAACAGCUUCAAAAAGGGCUUGAUGGAUUUGAGUGAAGAGGACUGUGCCCCUCUGGUGUAUCGAGACAGAGGUGGUAGUCAGAAAUCUGAUUGUAGUUCAGGUCACAGUUUACAAAUCCAUCUAUACUUCAUUCCUGGCACCAAAGAAGAGACCAUUAUAAACAUAUCAUGCAAUCAUGUCUCUGCUGAAGAUGUCUGCAAACAAGCUGCAGCCAAAUGUGGGAUAUUUCCAGUUUAUCAGAGUCUUUUCGCUCUGGCGUCUACUGAUUUGUCUUUCUGGUAUCCUCCAUCACAUAUGUUCAACGGAGAUGAAAACCUGCUUGUACAUUUUAGAGUAAGGUUUUUCUUUGAAAAUUGGUAUGGCCAAGAACCAAAGACAUCUUAUCGCCAUAGCCUGACCAGAGACAGAAUGAAUCCUGUUGUAGACUGCGGUGUCAUUGAUUACCUCUUUGCACAGUGGAGAAGUGAUUUCAUCAACAGUGAGGCAGGAAAGUCCCCACCUUUGACCGCGCAGGAGGACUGUCUGGGGCUGGUCGUGCUGGAUUUAUGGAGAAUGGCCAAAGAGCGACAUCAGAGUGUGAGAGAGCUGUGUAGAUCUGUCAGCUACAAAUCCUGCCUGCCUAAAACUCAUCGUCAUGACAUCCAACAAAGAAGUCGCCUGGAUCGGUACCGAAUCCGAAACACUUUGAAGCGUUUCUUAAGGAAGCUUGGGAACAAUUCAGUAGAUGCAUGCACCCUUAAAGUCAAAUACCUGAUAGAACUGUCUGCUAUCAAACCAUCUUUGGGGAGUGAAGUCUUUCAGGUGGAUGGAUCUUUUUCGAAGUUCACUCAUGUGCGCAUCAGUGGAGAAUCUGGUAUUCAGACAAAAAGAGAUGAGAGGCUUGAUGAACCAAUGGAAUGGGAGACGUUUUGUGAUUUCCAAGACAUCAUUGACAUUAGUGUUCAGCGGGUUUGUCUUGAAAAUGCAGGACAAGACAGCAGAUUAGUCACAGUAACUCGCAGGGAUGACAGAUGUUUGGAAGCCAAGUUCACCAGUCUGAAAGAAGCUCUCUCAUUUGUGUCUCUUAUUGAUGGCUACUUCAGACUGACUACAGACUCAACCCACUUCUUCUGUCAAAGCAUUGCUCCACCAAGUAUUCUGGAGGGAAUCAGAAACCACUGUCAUGGACCCAUUACAUCGGACUUUGCCAUGAACAAGUUGAAAAAGUCUGGAUUUAGAGGGGGCGCAUUUCUCUUACGACAAAGUCCUAAGAGUUAUGACAACUACCUCCUGACUGUUUGCAUUCAGACCCCGAUUGGACUGGACUACAAAGACUGUCUCAUCAUAAAGAAUGAAAACUUCAGUCUUCCUGGGGUCCAAAAAUCAUUUUCCAGUUUAAAGGAGCUCACAAGCUUUUACCAGCAUAAUAAAAUCAUUUUGGCCGACAUUCCCAUUAAACUAGGUCGCUGUUGUCCCCCCAAGCCUAAAGAACUCACAAAUCUAAUCAUAAUUCGAGGCAACAGUUCAGUGGAAGAGCAAGACUCCCCUUGCCCUGAAAGAAGCAAAUUCAAUCACAUCCAGUUUCACAUGAUCAAAUAUGAGGACCUAAAAUGGGGUGAUAGCCUUGGACAGGGAUCCUUUACCAGGAUUUUUAAGGGCUCCAAAAUUGAUAUGAAUGAAGGAGAGAAACAUGUGACAGAAGUUCUCCUCAAAGAACUAGAUGUGGUUCACAAGAACUGCUGGGAGUCUUUCUUCGAAGCCGCCAGCCUUAUGAGUCAGGUUUCUUACAAGCACCUCCUUCUUGUGUAUGGUGUCAGUGUACAUGCUGCUAAGAAUAUAAUGGUGCAAGAGUUUGUCAAGUACGGGGCACUAGACCUUUACUUGAAGAGAGGAGUUUCUGUCUCAGUGAGCUGGAAACUUGAUGUAGCAAAACAGCUUGCAUCAGCACUCAACUUCCUAGAAGAAAAGAACAUAGUCCAUGGGAAUAUCUGUGCUAAAAAUCUGCUUUUGGCUCGAGAAGGAGACCCAUCACAGGGGGACUUGCCCUUCAUCAAACUGAGUGAUCCUGGCGUGAGUGUGGCCAUGCUGGGCAAAGAUGUGGUUCUGGACCGUAUCCCUUGGGUCGCUCCUGAAGUGGUGGAGGCUCCGGAGAAGCUCAGCCUGGAGUCAGACAAGUGGAGUUAUGGUGCCACUUUGUGGGAAAUCUUCAACAGGAACACUCCUUUGAGAGGCUGGGACUUAGACAGGAAGCGUCAGUUUUACGAGUCUUUCCAGCAGUUGCCUCGCUCACAGUGGACAGAGUUAGCUGAUCUGAUCAGUCAGUGCAUGGACUACCAGGCAGACUUCAGACCCUCAUCACGCAGCAUUAUCCGACAAAUAAACAGUCUCAUCACGUCAGAUUAUGUGAUACUACACGCGACAGAUUCUGUAUCACAGAAUGCAGUUUGGAAAGCCCUGACUCCACAGCAAAAUGACAUGCUGUUUGAAGAGCGUCACCUGUGUUACAUCUCACUGCUUGGAAAGGGUAACUUUGGCAGUGUUGAACUCUGUCGCUAUGACCCAUUGGGGGACAGCACUGGUGAUCUUGUAGCUGUGAAGAAGCUGCAGCCAAACAAGCAGUCCACUGUUGAGGAUUUCCACAAAGAAGUCAAUACUCUGAGUGCAUUGAAUUGUGAUUAUAUUGUUAAGUACAGAGGAAUCUGCUACAGCACAGGUAAAAACACUCUUUUUAAGCAACAUUAAAGGUGCCCUGUGUAACUUUUCUGGAGGAGGACCCCAACCUGUUUGUCUUCAUGGGGAUGUUACUGCUUUGGUUUAAAUUCACAAUAUAUAGUCUUAAACUAAUCUGUCUUACAAUGAGUUUGUAUACAUGCACAUUAGUAUCCCGGUUAUUAGCUAUAUCCCGGUUUUGUCAGUAUUCGUGCAUGCUGAGAAACCGGGAUACUCAUAUCCCUGUAUACAUGAUCAAAUGUAGUAUCCCGGUUUCUUGACAUAAUCUUACAAAUGCGCAAGCGCAAAAAUUCACUUAAAUCAAUUUAAUAAACCAAGAAAAAUACAAACCAUGAGCUCCUUUAGCAUAGGAAGCUCGGGAGGUUUAACCAGCGGUAAGGAGCUAUGAAGUAUCCCACAAUCCACUGCGAAGAUCAAACCGAACAGAUUCUUCAUUAAAAUCUUCUGCAUAAAUAAACUCAACUUUACAACAUAUAAACCAUAACCACUAUAGAGCCACAUCAGUCCGUUUGAUAAUAUAAUUCAGCUUUGAUCACAUUUGUUUACGUUUUACAGAAACAAAACUUAAGACUGCAUGGUUAAUAAAAACAGCUCGCUUCUUGUGCCGCUGAUGCGAUCAGCUUCUUUCGGACUGAAGAACACGACUCUGUCUAUUACAUGUGUUUUUUUUCUGACAGAAGAGAUGCUAAUGAUGGUAAGUCUGUUCUGUGCUUGCACUGUAUAGGAGAUAGUUCAUGUUUUAGCUUUUCGGCGAUUAUACGCGUGCAGGUCAUACGAGAGUGCAGAUUGUACGUGUGCAGGUUUAGCGCAGCUCUUAAUUUUAGUCAUUUCGCUCAUGUAUGGUCACUGUAUUUAUGUUGGUCACUUUAUUUUGUCACUACUAUUGUGUGAAAAGACUGGAAAGUGUUUGUCUUUUGGACGCAUGCGCACUCAACUCUAUUUUGCAGUAACCGGGAUACUGUGUAUACAUGCAACAGUAUCCCGGUUACUAUCGGAAUAAACCAGCUACAGUAUCUAUACUGAAUACUGAUACUGAAACCAGGGUACGGCGUAUACAUGCACCAUGAAGAAACCGGGAUACUCAAAAAACCUGAUCAUAACCGGAAUACUGAUGUACAUUUAUACGCACUCAUUUAUUCAGCUGCAGGUGUUAUUUAUUGCUCAAAAAACAAAACAAAACAAAAAAAAACAUUCAUUCUUAGUGGGGUCGCCUUACCACAAAUCUAACCUGUAGCUUCCUCUCAUGGAGAUUCACUCCAUAUUGUGGAAUAAUGACUCUCCACCAGAGUAGUGCACUUUUUAAAAGUACUCUGUGUUGUUGAAGUUUUCUGCUUGUCCAAGAAAGGUUGGAAGUAAAAGGCUGGAGACCAACUGGAUGUCUUAAGCAGGAGAAGUUUAUUUAUCAAUCAGUAAUCAUCAAUAAUUGAAAAGGCUUGAAAAAUCAACAUAGUAUGAUUUCAAAAGUGAACAUAGUAUAAUCUUUGAGUGUUCAGUCCCUUUUCUGUGCUUCCAAAGGAGAAGGCCAGUAGGCACCGGUUAGACGGCAAUAUGCCACAAUUUAGAUAAUGGUAAAUGGUCACUCAAAGCACUUUACAACAAGGAACCACUCACCCAGUCACACACACAUUCACACACCAGUGUACGCAGACACUGUGGGCCGCCUGAUAAUGGCAUGCCAAUGGUAUGCCAACGGAAGAUCAUGGUGUAAAUAUAGCUUUUGUGAGUCAAUGUUAAACUGAGAUGUACGUGGAAGAUAAAUUACUUAAAUUCUCCUACACUCUGAUCAAUAUUUCUGUUCAAUGUAACACAAGGACUUAGUUAUAUUAUUACUGCAAUAACCAGCAUGCUAAUUAGUCAGUGUACUAGUAAAGUAUUGAAACUGUACACAUAAGGUACAGUACUUUAAAUCCUUCACAAUUAAAUGUAUUAUAUACCAGUUGAUACUUUGCAGUGACAUCACACUGGGGGUCUUCUACAUGUAUCUGUAUGGCAGAAUGAUUAGGAGUUAGCAUGGUGAUACAAUGCACACAUUAGCAAACACUGCCAAAAAGUUUUAAGAUUUUUUUUUUUUUUUUUAAGAAGUUUUCAGGACAUUUUCAGGAGCCUGUGAUCAGUACAGUACAAUACAAUACAAAGUGAGAGUGACUAACUGAGAAACUGUUGGGUAAUGCUGGCUAGCUUGUAACCCCCAAUUCACACCAAAGCGCAACGGCGCGUAAGCGCAGCAGCACAGAACACGAGCAGCACACGCGCUGCCUUAGAACUCCAUUUUAACCGGUCUGACCGUUCACACCAACAGUGUCAUACGCGCGUCCAACGAGUGUCUGACGCUGACGCGCUGCUCAAGAGGUUGGACUUCUAAUUUUGCAGCGUCAAUGGUGCGUCUCCAAGGUUUUUAGCAGGGGAAAGACAGGAAAUAAACACGCGGAGUCAAAAUAAACUUCCGAUACCCUUUCAAAAUAAUUUAACCAAAGUCAAGACAGCGACGUAAACAACGCGCACGUGAUUUACGAUGUCAGACACCAGUUCUACAAGGACUCAGGACUAAACCAGGACUAAACCAGGACUAAACCAGGACUAAACCAGCACUCACUGUCGAAAUAUACUCGGAGGUCCUUCCGUGUAGCCCCGAGUGUCCGCGGGCGAAAGGACCAGUGCAGAGCUUGGAAAAGAGGUCGCCUUAACAUGAGCCUGGUGAUGGAAUACCUGCCGUUUGGGAGUUUAAUUAACUACAUGGAGAAAUUCCCUGACAGUGUGAACAUCAGAAGGCUGCUGCUUUUUGCCUCUCAAAUCUGGCAUGAAGUAUCUCCAGGACAAACGCUAUGUCCAUCGAGAUCUCGCAGCCA